This 102-nucleotide microRNA precursor is filed under the name Marmota monax (woodchuck). The record is from RNAcentral. Lineage: Eukaryota; Metazoa; Chordata; Mammalia; Rodentia; Sciuridae.
AGUACACUGCUGGGUUAUAUGGUAGCUUCAUGUUUAGUUUUUAAAGAAAAUUUGAAACUCUUUUCUAAAGUGGCUGUCCCACCUUACAUUCUCAAUAGCACU